GAGUUUGAUCGUGGCUCAGAUUGAACGCUGGCGGCAUGCCUUACACAUGCAAGUCGAACGGCAGCAUGAUCUAGCUUGCUAGAUUGAUGGCGAGUGGCGAACGGGUGAGUAAUACAUCGGAACGUGCCCUGUAGUGGGGGAUAACUAGUCGAAAGAUUAGCUAAUACCGCAUACGACCUGAGGGUGAAAGUGGGGGACCGCAAGGCCUCAUGCUAUAGGAGCGGCCGAUGUCUGAUUAGCUAGUUGGUGGGGUAAAGGCCCACCAAGGCGACGAUCAGUAGCUGGUCUGAGAGGACGAUCAGCCACACUGGGACUGAGACACGGCCCAGACUCCUACGGGAGGCAGCAGUGGGGAAUUUUGGACAAUGGGCGAAAGCCUGAUCCAGCAAUG
This 391-nucleotide ribosomal RNA is filed under the name uncultured microorganism. RNAcentral describes it as "bacterial SSU rRNA". It matches the Rfam family "Bacterial small subunit ribosomal RNA", at positions 9 to 396 of the family's 1533-position model. The record is from RNAcentral.